CUCCUCCGCCCCCGCGCCCAUGCCCAGCGACGGCCUGCUACCGAAUACUGCGCUGGUCUGCCUCCUCCUCAACCCAUAUCGGUGGCGCGGGCCGCUCCGAUUGAAACCCUAGGCGAGGGCCGUCGGAUCUAGCAGUGGUGGCGGCACCGGUAUCGCCUAUGGAGUUCCUGACCGGUGCCAAAUCACCGCUGGGUCUCCUUCGCCAUCCUGGCGACAGGUGCCCUGUCCGCCUGAGGCCGUGUCGUCCACCUGAUCCCGGCGAGUCGAAGCAAGGUCGCUGGCGUCGCGCGUGGCCUCCCUCGCCAAUCCCGCCGUCGGCAACCCUGUCCGCCUGUGGCUGCGGCGGUCGCCUGGUCCGGGCGAGGCGAAGCAAGGUGCAGUGGCCGGCGUCGCACGUGGCCUCCCUCGCCAAUCCCGCCGUACGCCCACCUGGUCCGGCGAGCCGAAGCCAACGCUCCCUUCAGCGCUGCACGCCCCAGCCCCAAAUCACGCCCCAGGUCAGGUUUGAUUUGGGCACGAGUCUGCUGCCCUUCGUAAUCCGGCUAGGUAAAUUUAUUGAUCCUCUUUUUUACUAGAAAGCUACUAACCUGGCUUGGUGCUAAAGUUUACUAAUGAGCUCUACCUUUAUCAUUGGUUCUCCUCUUGAUGGAAAAUAGAUAAUCUGCAAUACACAUGCUGAAUUGCUAAUAAGCUUUUAGCAGUUACACAUUGCUCAUUUAUUUGCUUACUUUGAUAUACUAUUGGUACCAUAGGCGAUUUGAAAUGGACUGGACUCCUGGUAUGGUAAAUGCAAUUCAUAAGGUAGCUAAAUUUAUUGAUCCUCUUUUUUACUAGAAAGCUACUAACCUGGCUUGGUGCACAGUGAUGGACUUCAUUUCAUUUCAAUUUAUUGAUCCUCUUUUUUACUAGAAAGCUACUAGCCUGGCUUGAUUAAAUUUAAUUCAUUUCAAUGGACUUCUCAUAUCAUUUUGUGUGCAGGAAGUUGCUUGCGUGCACAAUAAUCAAAUGAAAACAAUUAGUUUGUACUCAUUUCGUGAACUUAGCUCUGCCAUCUUUGCAUUUGGAGGAUUUCAUUUGCCUUCUUUCCCAUGUAAAUUCUAAACUUUGCUCACUACUCUUUCUUUUCAGCAAAAAUCUGGAAUAAUGGAGAAGAAGAAUAAGAUAGUAGAAGAGUGACAGAUUGCUGCAACCACUUAGCUCACGAGAUGACCAUCUAUCUGCACUUGUCUUUCCCUUUGUCCUGCUAAUUUAGUAUCAGGUACUGAAAAUUCUCGUAUUUGGUUGAGAUCUAAAGUAGGCAUAAGGUUGGAUGAGGAUGUGAAGGUCAAGGAGAUGAGGAAGGAGCACGUGACAAGAGCACAUCUGAUGCUAGAUUCUGCCUAAAAGGUAGCAGGUCUGAAGUCAUCUGCUCUCCUCUUUUAAUCUCAUUCAUUUUACAUGAUCAAAUAUUUAAUGGUUACAGCUACCAUUAUGAUAUUUUACCAGAUUAAUCAUGAUCGCUUUGAGACAUGCAGCUGUUAUUUUGAAAUCAAAAUUAUUUUAGCUGAAAAAUCUAAUUGAAAUGCGGAGUCAGUGAAGCCUUUGACAAUUCCUAGGUGCCAAGAUUCAGCCCAGGAGGCCAGUAUGGAUAUAUGGGAUUGUGUAUCAUUUGGAGUAUGGAUAUAUGUUCUUGUGUAUCACUUCGAAUUUCAGUACUUUCAUUUUCCAUAUUGAUGAAGUUAGGAAAAUAACAGGAUAAAAAUUUAAGUUACGUAUUUAUUUCACAUGUGAAGCUAUCCAAUGAAGUUGUGCAAUAUGGAGUGGCCACAUGCAAGUAAAGAGAGUCCAGAACAUUUGGUACUCAUAAUUUCUAACAUGUUUCUAACGAUUUUUCACUAAAUUCCAUAAUUGUUCAUAGCUA
This is a long non-coding RNA of Panicum virgatum (switchgrass), 1900 nucleotides long. RefSeq lists it as uncharacterized. The record is from RefSeq and is a predicted model, not a curated record. NCBI's taxonomy places the organism in Eukaryota, Viridiplantae, Streptophyta, Magnoliopsida, Poales, Poaceae. The transcript has 3 exons.